AUUUGGGACACCGAGACAACAGUUUGCAGACGACUUCACCCCCAGUAGAAUGUCGAAGUCCUAGUGAAUGUUACAAUCCAAUAAGAAUAAGGAGUUCAACUGACAUCUAAUCCGUGUAGAAGCGCAACUGUGAUCUUCUCGACAAAAAAGUCUAAAUCAAAAAAAGAAACUUCCAAUAUUUAUGAGCUACUCUGGACGAAGAUUACAACCUUUUGGAGUAGCGAGAAAAAAAUACAGGGUCCUCCGAUAAAAACUUACAGAGCAUUUAGAUGAUCAACAUUCAUGUUUGCGAAUCGCUGGAUCGUCUUCGAAUUACACCACAACCAAAAAAAUACUACUGUUUGGCCGAAGGUCCGCCCCCGGCUGAUCAAGUGGGACUCCCAAACAUCAAUGUGUAGGCUCAAGGAAAUGGUCAAGAGAGGAGACCGUUUGAAAGGUGCCUUCGCGAACCUCAUUGAUACCUAUCAUAUUGUAGGCAAUGCGAGCAGGCCCCUUGAGCGAAGCCUGAGUGCCUCUUCCAUUAUCCCGAAUAAUCUCUUCGUACGCAACAUUGUCUCAGUAACCUCCUGCGCGGUCCGACAUUUGUCGCAAACAUGCGAUCGGGGAUUGCUGAACCAGCAGUUAACGCCACAAUUGUUAGCCGAUCGCCAUUUACGUGGGCUGUGCGAAGUUAUCAAAUUGGAUUACAGAACAAAUUCCCUCUCGUUGUGAAAAGGCACAUCUGUAUUAUUAUUCAACUUACUUCGGCGAAUCGGAAGAAUUUUCAAAUGUGAAUUCAAAUUCCUUCGGUUUCAUAGAUCAUAUACUUAUUGAAGGACAGAUGAAACGGACAGAAAUUGCCAGGCACCGAUCUGUGGCCAAGGCAAAUGUCGUUAAUUAGGUUACCUUGAAUAUCUUUCAUUAGAGCAAUGCUUAUUAGGCUCAUAAAUAUAGGCAGAUCUAAAGGCCUAUUCACGUAUAUGUUACUUUGUGGAUUACUAUUCGAUAUCGGCCUGGUAAUGAUCAUGUUCCUGUCCGACACGUUUCUAAAAGAUGCCAAAAGGUAAUGUUGAUUUGUCCUCACGGGAUGAUGCUCCAGAAGGUGUAAGAGCACUGUAUGUACGCUCCUGGCGCCCUCAUCGAACAGGAAUUCGAUUCCGCUUGCGACAUGGACGCAACAAAUAAAAAAAAAAAUGGUUACAUUUUAUCCAAUUCGCGAACUUCAGAGCAGGAAAAGCAUUUCGAGUGCGGUCCGCGUCCUUCUGCUCGAUAUAAAACUUAUAAAUUUGCAAGGUACAGCUGAUGAUUCCAUUUGCACUUCCUUAAGAUUUGAGUUUUUUUUUUGAGAGAUCAGCGAAAUAGACAGCGAAAAGGACAGAAGGCCCUUGGCCGCUGUUAGCCUAACUCGGUCGGCAAAAAUCAAUGUGAACGAGCCGCCUUCCUUUGAAGCUUUCAAGAUAUUGACGACGCCGGCAGUCUCUUCUUCCACAAAAUCCAUCUACGCAGCUGUAAACAACGAUGUAUGAUUAUAGUAUUCGACUUCAACCGAUUCAUCUAGAUCUUUCCGACAAACGUUUAUACGCUUAAGUAUCAACUGGCCAAGCAGAAACAAUUAAAUAAUUAUUCAUAUAUCGAAGUAUUUGAGGUACAAUAAUCGAGACAUUUUGAGAUGAUCCAUUGACAAUCAAAUUCAAUUCCUACUAACACUUACCAAAAAACUGAACGAAGCUUGAAGAUACGAAUGA
Molecule: long non-coding RNA, 1724 nt
Organism: Varroa destructor (honeybee mite)
Lineage: Eukaryota; Metazoa; Arthropoda; Arachnida; Mesostigmata; Varroidae
Source: RefSeq, a predicted model, not a curated record